UACCAAUAAAGAUGACAUGUAAAGGAUCGAGAAUCUUAAACUAUGAUAUGCCUAUUAAUCAUAUCGAUACUAUCAUUUUUUUAAUAUUCAUUCGAGUUAAAGAUCAAUUAAAUCUAUAUAAUUUUUUUGUUAAAAUAAAAAAAGAGCAUGGUAAAUAAUGAAUUGUUACAAAAAAAAUAUCAAAGAGGAUUAUCAUGCAACACACUUUCACAUAUCUAUAAAUGCACAGAGAG
Molecule: long non-coding RNA, 233 nt
Filed under: Elaeis guineensis (African oil palm)
Lineage: Eukaryota; Viridiplantae; Streptophyta; Magnoliopsida; Arecales; Arecaceae
Description: long non-coding RNA (EGUI_LNC005110)
Source: RNAcentral